Molecule: long non-coding RNA, 606 nt
Organism: Oncorhynchus kisutch (coho salmon)
Lineage: Eukaryota; Metazoa; Chordata; Actinopteri; Salmoniformes; Salmonidae
Exons: 3
Source: RefSeq, a predicted model, not a curated record
CAGCAGAUUGUCUGAAUGAGAUUUUGCGCGGAGAGUGAAUCGAAGAGAGGUAACGUCAACCGGUCAUGACUGUUGUUGACUAGGCUAGCGUUAGACACUGGACAACUUUGUUACAACUCUAGAUUAAGGAUGACAUCUUCAUCUCUGAAAAUGUUUUCAUCCUGGAGGAGAAUGUGCAGGAAGCAGAGGAAAGAAUGGUUUGUACAGCAUGCCAAACGGACCCCUAGGAGCCAGUGUUGCUGUGCUGCGGUAGAGAAGAGGUUCAUCGGGACCAUCACUAAAGAGCUCGGGGCCCCGCCCAUAUCCGCCAUAGAUGGAGCUGACGGAGAGUGAGAUCACUCGCUGAAUGAACCUGACAGCUCAGAAUUACAAUCAUCUCAGUGCGAGACAAGAUAUACUAUCUAUCACUUUGGGGGUGCGGGAUAGUGUUCCCGAAAAAUGGAGAAGGAGCAGGCCAUUCAACAGCGAAUUAAAAGAUACACCCAUCCUUAAAGGGAAUCAGAGUGGAAUUGUUUUUCCACAGAUUAAAAAAAAAAAACUGUUUUAAUGGAUGUGUUACCUUGUCCUACUGUUAUAAUGGAUGUGUUACCUUGUCCUACUGUUAUA